This is a long non-coding RNA of Brassica napus (rape), 992 nucleotides long. RefSeq lists it as uncharacterized. NCBI's taxonomy places the organism in Eukaryota, Viridiplantae, Streptophyta, Magnoliopsida, Brassicales, Brassicaceae. The transcript is spliced from 2 exons. The record is from RefSeq and is a predicted model, not a curated record.
UCCGACGGACUGAGGUUUCCUCGGAAUUCCGUCGGUAUAUUCCGAGGAAAUUCCUCGGUAUAUUCCGAGGAUUUCAUUUUCCGUCGGAAUGUCCGUCAGAAUACCGUUGUUUUCUUGUAGUGGAGGGGUAUUUUUUGACACGUGGCAAGUGAAUAAUUCUAUGUUUUCGUUUGAUUUCUUCCUUUGGUGUGCUGGGCUUUUCUUUGGUCAUUUCUAAAAAAAAUGUAGAUUUUUGGAGAUUGGGUUUUUGCUAAAGGUUAUGUUCAGGCCCAGCAAGUAGGGUUGUGUCGUCUUCCUAUCUUCAACAUUCAUAGCUCUGCUCGCUGAACAAAUCACCGUAACAUCUCCUGAUAGCAUUAAAACAUAUUUUAAUCUGAUCUUUAACGUGAUUGCCCCAUUAUUUCAUAUCUCAAACAUUCAAUCAACCUCAUCAUCUCCCAUAGUAACCGACGGAAGCUCGGACUAUAAAUCUCCAAUCUCCAGCGAUGAACAGCAUAGAAUCAACCAAAUCACGAAGAACAGUCUCUGCUAAUUACCACGACCGUCUCUUAUAAACUGCUAAUAAAAGACAUAUAUCUGCUAAUUCAUAUCUUGUAUUCUAUUUUAGCCAGGCUGUUGUCAUCCCACUUCUUCGUUUCUCAUAGGAGCAUAAUGUGAAGAAAGGAGGUGAUUCUCUGCUACUGGAAGAUAAGUGUCUCCAAUAGGGCAUAAAGAUGCAUACAAGAUUUUGAGUGCGCAAGGAAAGCAAAAUCGGUUGAAACCUCAUCAUAGCACGUACAAAAUUUUAGUGGGGAAUCUGAAGACGAUUUGCUAGAGACGGUGGUUUAAGAAGCUUUGUUGACUCUUCUACCAAUAAUAAUGUAAUUAUUUUUCUUUUUUUUGUAAAACUUCUUUUUGUAACACCAAUUAUUUUUCAUUUAUCUCAGUCUUUCUCUGUGUAUUUGAAAUGAUGAUGAAGUCUACAAGGCACACUGAGACAUAGGAUUCACUCG